AGUGCAGUGCAGGACAGCAGCCUGAUCUGAUUGAUGCCUUGCUAUGGACACACACACUGCCUGAUGGGGAAUGGGGUCUGCGGCCGGCAAACCCGCCGAACACACAGCAUCUGAUGCUGCUUCAGAGCCCAACAAUUCCAACUCUUUGACAUGUCCACCCUCGAAUGAUCCUCCUGGAGCCCCAGCCAUCAUCAUCACCGCACCCUCCCGUGAGGACCUGUUCGCCUCCAAAACAGGACCAUCCAUAGCAGAGGCCAACAGAGAGAGGAGGCCAGGGGGGACACCGAUCGUAGUGGGACGCAGAUUCAUCACUGGAAAAGCCUGACAACACCGGACAUAACUGAGAGACACUGACCUCAGAAGAGUGUUUGAAGGAAGCUGAUGAAAGCCUUUGAGCCACGUUGCCUGCUGGAGAGUCAGACUCUACAACCACUCACAACCUUCACCACAACCCCAACCAAAUCCUUGCACACCACCUACUGCCCACCUGCAUAUAAAGACAUAUUACAGUGUGUGUGGGCUGUACUGAGAUUAUCUAUCGUUAUGCAGUCAUUAUAUCUUCUCACAGUAGUGAGUGUCCAGAUCACACACAGAUGACCCUCAGCGCACACUUCUCACACACAUACAUAGUUUAUUUUGUUAAUUAAGUGUUAUUAAAGAUUAUGUUUGCUUUAUUUAUAUCAGCUUGUUUAC
Molecule: long non-coding RNA, 693 nt
Filed under: Astyanax mexicanus (Mexican tetra)
Lineage: Eukaryota; Metazoa; Chordata; Actinopteri; Characiformes; Acestrorhamphidae
Description: lncRNA (ENSAMXG00005002550.1)
Source: RNAcentral